UGAAGAUUGCGGUGUGACGGUGCUCUGACUCCGCAACGCUACUGGAGUUGAUGUUCGGUGAUUUUGGGCGCGAGCCGUCGACCACUGUUCGCCAUUGCAGGCAUGACAAGGUCUUGGGAUGGGUGGAGCUGAUGUGCCAGUCAAGUGUUAACUGGGAAAACAUGGGCAGUGUCCCAGAACCUACCCUGCCUGCCCUGAUUCCAUUCACUCUGAUCUCUUAGCCUCUAAACACAAUCCGUUCAUUGUGACCAUGCAGCACAAACACCCAGAUGAGUGGCUUCCGUAUGUCAUCAUCAAAGACACUGAGACCCAUGUGAUGUAGGGCGACACAUGGGGGUCCAAAGAUGGUCACCUUCAGGCCUCAUCACAACAGCAAUUGUCCCAGUGAUAUUCUGCACUGAAAUCAGUUCUACCUGUGACGCACUGUGACGGGGUUCUACCUCAGCCCUCUUAGAUUAAAAAAAAAAACAAAACAGAAAAACGUAGGCAUAGCUGAGAUUUAUUGUGGUCACCUCCCGAAAUUUCAGAUAAAUGGCAAAAAUAUUUUUACAAAUCCUAUUAUAUGUAGUGCUCCAUCUGUCAAUAUUCCAUGCAUUGCAUAGGUGAACAGGUAUAAAAUGGGUAAACAAGACUGACAUGUGGGUAGAUUGAUAUCCAAAAUGAAGAUUUUCAAUUUAAAUCAAAUUAAACUUUAAUGACAGG
Molecule: long non-coding RNA, 702 nt
Organism: Lampris incognitus (smalleye Pacific opah)
Lineage: Eukaryota; Metazoa; Chordata; Actinopteri; Lampriformes; Lampridae
Exons: 2
Source: RefSeq, a predicted model, not a curated record